UGAAAAUUAAGUCUAAGGUAAUAUAUUUAUUUGAUCAGUUAAAAUAAGUUUGAAGCUUGAAAAUAGGUUUGAGGUAAUAUACUUAUUUGAUCAGUUAAAAUAGAUUUGAGAGUCCAAUUAAGUUGGAGGGGACAACAAAAGAGGCAGUUCAGUGGGACUGCAUAAGAUGCAACAGUAUCACUAACUGCUCCAAUAUAAAAAAUGUUUAUUAUUUGUUGAUGGCACAUCCUAGGAGGCCUAGCUUGUACCAUAGGAAACAAAUGACGUGGGUAAAGGGAAGUGUAUUUAUUAAUAAAAACAGAAUGGCAUUUAACUUUUUUAAUCAGAAACAAAUGGGCUGUACAAAUAAAAUCUAAGGAGUGACUUAGGAUGCCUGGAGAAUAUAUGAAACUGGAAGUUUCUCUGUAGUUGCAAAGCUAAAAAACAAUCAGAAUGUAACACUAGAAAGUCCAGCAAAACAAAGAGAAUUGCAGAUGAUUAUACACAGAACAGAACAUAGGGAAGGGUGAACGUUCAGGAAGACUCUCUUUUUAUGUUAGGGUCAAGUUUAAAGGAUACAAUUUAAUCAUCUGGGACAAUAUUGUUGACAAUAUUGCUUAUUGUUUUAUUCAAAGCAGUGUUCUUUAUAGAGUCAGAAAAAAAAUUGUCCAGGGAAGGACAAUAUAUGAAAUCAAAGCAUAACUUUGUCCAUAGCCUGCCUUAGUCUUCAACUGUUUAGACCAACCCCAGAAAACUCUUCUGCAGCAGACUUUAUGACAAGAACCAUGUGAUGAAAUUAGAGUAACAUUAGGGAGAUGCUUAAAAGCUUAGGAGCUUUAUGAGAAGGUUAAUAUUUAAUAUGAGUUAUGGAAGAUUUUUAAAGUGGGCAUUGGAUAAGAGGGAGAUUAAUUCAUGCAGGAUUAUUUUAUGACAUAGAACAGUGUUUGAACUCUUUAGCAAAGACUGAAAUAAAUUUAGUGGUUCAUCUUUAGUAGGCUUAAUUUAAAUUAAAAAUAGAAUAGAAAAGAAAAUAUUAGAGUGUGUUACAAAUAGCAGCAAGCAUUUGAUGUCAUUUUAAUUGUUCAUAUUUGUGUAGGCACUGGUCAUGAUGGAAAAUGUAUUUCUUUUUUAAACUUUAUUGUAGAGAAUUUCAAACAUACACAAAGGUGAACAGAUAUUUGGAUGAAUGUUUGUUAUCCAUCACCUGUCCUAUAUACCCAUUGAUAUGGUUUGGCUGUCACUCAAAUAUCAUCUUGAAUGGUAGCUCUCAUAAUUCCCAUGUGUUGUGGGAGGGACCCGGUGGGAGAUAAUUGAAUCAUGGGGGUGGUUUUCCCCAUAACUGUUCUUAUGGUAGAGAAUAAGGCUCAUGAGAUCUGAUGGUUUUAUAAGGGGAAACCCCUUUCACUUGGU
RNAcentral lists this long non-coding RNA (1389 nucleotides) under Homo sapiens (human). RNAcentral's name for it is "HSALNT0107491". Lineage: Eukaryota; Metazoa; Chordata; Mammalia; Primates; Hominidae. The record is from RNAcentral.